ACAAAUAAAAUGCUCCGCUAGGCGCAGCUUGAUACGACCGCAGAGGUCGAACCCUCAACAGUUGGGGCAAGUAUGGACACAACAUUCAAGCUUGAUACAGCACUGAAUUUGGAUUGUGAUUAAAUAUUUGACACAGCAUAGGUUUCUGACACAGAAUGAAUGUGGUCUAAGAACUUAAAAUUUUUAAUUUACCUAUUCAAACCAUAUCAUUAUUAUUUGCUUUUAUAUAUAAAUCAGAAAUAACCAAUUUAAAAUGGAAAA
This is a long non-coding RNA of Mytilus californianus (California mussel), 261 nucleotides long. RefSeq lists it as uncharacterized. NCBI's taxonomy places the organism in Eukaryota, Metazoa, Mollusca, Bivalvia, Mytilida, Mytilidae. The transcript has 2 exons. The record is from RefSeq and is a predicted model, not a curated record.